UACGAAGGGGGCUAGCGUUGCUCGGAAUCACUGGGCGUAAAGCGCACGUAGGCGGCUCUUUAAGUCAGGGGUGAAAUCCUGGAGCUCAACUCCAGAACUGCCUUUGAUACUGAGGGGCUCGAGUCCGGGAGAGGUGAGUGGAACUGCGAGUGUAGAGGUGAAAUUCGUAGAUAUUCGCAAGAACACCUGCGGCGAAGGCGGGUAGCUGGGCCGACACUGACGCUGAGGCGCGAAAGCCAGGGGAGCGAACGGG
This 253-nucleotide ribosomal RNA is filed under the name uncultured prokaryote. RNAcentral describes it as "partial 16S ribosomal RNA". It matches the Rfam family "Bacterial small subunit ribosomal RNA", at positions 524 to 776 of the family's 1533-position model. The record is from RNAcentral.